UGGGGUAUAGCUAAGUGGUAAGUACAUGCUUAGCAUGCACGAGGUCCUGGGUUCAAUCCCCAGUACCUCUA
This 71-nucleotide transfer RNA is filed under the name Camelus bactrianus (Bactrian camel). It matches the Rfam family "tRNA". From Rfam's summary of the family: Transfer RNA (tRNA) molecules are approximately 80 nucleotides in length. Their secondary structure includes four short double-helical elements and three loops (D, anti-codon, and T loops). Further hydrogen bonds mediate the characteristic L-shaped molecular structure. tRNAs have two regions of fundamental functional importance: the anti-codon, which is responsible for specific mRNA codon recognition, and the 3' end, to which the tRNAs corresponding amino acid is attached (by aminoacyl-tRNA synthetases). tRNAs cope with the degeneracy of the genetic code in two manners: having more than one tRNA (with a specific anti-codon) for a particular amino acid; and 'wobble' base-pairing, i.e. permitting non-standard base-pairing at the 3rd anti-codon position. Lineage: Eukaryota; Metazoa; Chordata; Mammalia; Artiodactyla; Camelidae. The record is from Rfam by way of RNAcentral. RNAcentral also lists the same sequence under 1 other name.